This 164-nucleotide ribosomal RNA is filed under the name Jacobaea adonidifolia. Its description in RNAcentral is "5.8S ribosomal RNA". It matches the Rfam family "5.8S ribosomal RNA". Rfam says of the family: 5.8S ribosomal RNA (5.8S rRNA) is a component of the large subunit of the eukaryotic ribosome. It is transcribed by RNA polymerase I as part of the 45S precursor that also contains 18S and 28S rRNA. The record is from RNAcentral. Lineage: Eukaryota; Viridiplantae; Streptophyta; Magnoliopsida; Asterales; Asteraceae.
CAAACGACUCUCGGCAACGGAUAUCUUGGCUUACGCAUCGAUGAAGAACGUAGCAAAAUGCGAUACUUGGUGUGAAUUGCAGAAUCCCGUGAAUCAUCGAGUUUUUGAACGCAAGUUGCGCCCAAAGCCUUUUGGCCGAGGGCACGUCUGCCUGGGCGUCACAU